This 777-nucleotide ribosomal RNA is filed under the name uncultured Neocallimastigales. RNAcentral's name for it is "partial large subunit ribosomal RNA". It matches the Rfam family "Eukaryotic large subunit ribosomal RNA", at positions 22 to 637 of the family's 3401-position model. Lineage: Eukaryota; Fungi; Neocallimastigomycota; Neocallimastigomycetes; Neocallimastigales. The record is from RNAcentral.
GUACACGCUGUGACUAGCAUAUCAAUAAGCGGAAGGAAAAGAAACUAACAAGGAUUCCCUUAGUAACGGCGAGUGAAGCGGGAAGAGCUCAAAUUUGAAAUCUUCAAGGUUUUACCUUGACGAAUUGUAGUUUAAAGAAGUGUUUUCUGCUGAAGUUUUGGUAAAAGUUCUUUGGAAUAGGACAUCAUAGAGGGUGAGAAUCCCGUAUUUGACCAUUAUUUUCAGCUGUGUGAUACACUUUCAAAGAGUCGGAUUGUUUGGGAAUGCAGUCCAGAAUGGGUGGUAAAUUUCAUCUAAAGCUAAAUAUUGGCGAGAGACCGAUAGCGAACAAGUACCGUGAGGGAAAGAUGAAAAGAACUUUGAAAAGAGAGUUAAACAGUACGUGAAAUUGUCAAAAGGGAAGCGUUUGACACCAGUGUUGUUUUCUCGAAAAUCAAUUAAAAAAAGUUGGAUUUUGUGUUGUAUUGACCUUAACAGCUUUCUUCACUCUUUUCCUGCUUUUUUUAAUGCACUUUUCGUUUAACAAGUCAACAUCAGUUUCUUUUGUUGUAAAAGGGUCAUUGGAAGGUGGCUUUCUUUUCGGAGAAAGUGUUUAUAGCCUUUGAUCUCUGCAAUCGGAGAGACUGAGGUCUGCAGCGUAGAUCCUUCGGGGUUAGAUACAUUUGUGCUAAGUUAUAACUUUUCAUAGACAACUUGUUGACUAUAGUUUAGUCAUUGUAGCUUACUCGCUUAUGCUAUUUUACCUACGCUUAGGAUGUUGAACUACUGAGACAUAGA